GACGAACGCUGGCGGCGUGCUUAACACAUGCAAGUCGAACGGAAAGGCCCUGCUUUUGUGGGGUGCUCGAGUGGCGAACGGGUGAGUAACACGUGAGUAACCUGCCCUUGACUUUGGGAUAACUUCAGGAAACUGGGGCUAAUACCGGAUAGGAGCUCCUGCUGCAUGGUGGGGGUUGGAAAGUUUCGGCGGUUGGGGAUGGACUCGCGGCUUAUCAGCUUGUUAGUGGGGUAGUGGCUUACCAAGGCUUUGACGGGUAGCCGGCCUGAGAGGGUGACCAGCCACAUGGGGACUGAGAUACGGCCCAGACUCCUACGGGAGGCAGCAGUGGGGAAUAUUGCACAAUGGGCGGAAGCCUGAUGCAGCAACGCCGCGUGCGGGAUGCCGGCCUUCGGGUGGUAAACCGCUUUCGCCUGUGACGAAGCGUGAGUGACGGUAAUGGGUAAAGAAGCACCGGCUAACUACGUG
This 468-nucleotide ribosomal RNA is filed under the name uncultured bacterium. RNAcentral describes it as "partial 16S ribosomal RNA". It matches the Rfam family "Bacterial small subunit ribosomal RNA", at positions 28 to 507 of the family's 1533-position model. The record is from RNAcentral.